GAGAGAAAGGAUCCCCCACUGUGUUCUACUCUAGUCUCUAGCUACAAGACUCUUAAAUAGCAGCUCUCUGCAUAAUAUAAAAUCUGACCUAUACUAUACUACUCUUACUCUAACCUAUUGCUAUAAGACAGCUCGCUCCUCUUGAUCAAUCAUCAUGCAUCUGCUAUUCCCUUUAUAGCAUUCUUAGCUGUUUUUAUUUUGAAUUCAAUUUCUUCCUUUUCUUCCAAACUCUGCAUGUUAAAUCCUUUCCUUUUAAAUUCACUGUUUCACAAGAUGGGUUAUGUCUUUAUGAUUCCUCCUUUACUAUAGUAUCUACCUCCUUUAUUACAUAUGUCCCAUUCUUUCUUUCUUUGCUUCUAUAUAUAUAUAUAUUCUCCAAAUCUAGAUUCUUUAUCAUAGUUUGUAGUAAUAUUCUUGUUUUCUUCUUUGGUUUUUCCUUUCCAUUCCAUUGGAUUCUUCGCCUUCCUAGUUCUUUCUAUGCUUACAAAUAGUGUUAAAAUGAAAGCACAUGACUUUCUUGCACCUUCUCUUUUUUCUUUCUCCUUUGAGUUAGGUUUAGAUACCUGAAUCUAUUCUCUUUUUCAUUCUUUGUGCUACAAUAGGUAUUUAUUUUCUACUUCUUUUGACACACAAAAAAAAAACCAUAUAAACCUAGAGAGAGUGAAGUUGAUGCAUAACUAUUGCUGGAGAUGAAGAUGAAAGUU
This 704-nucleotide long non-coding RNA is filed under the name Medicago truncatula (barrel medic). RNAcentral's name for it is "lncRNA gene42804". Lineage: Eukaryota; Viridiplantae; Streptophyta; Magnoliopsida; Fabales; Fabaceae. The record is from RNAcentral.